AAGUCGAACGGCAGCACGGGUGCUUGCACCUGGUGGCGAGUGGCGAACGGGUGAGUAAUACAUCGGAACAUGUCCUGUAGUGGGGGAUAGCCCGGCGAAAGCCGGAUUAAUACCGCAUACGAUCUAUGGAUGAAAGCGGGGGACCUUCGGGCCUCGCGCUAUAGGGUUGGCCGAUGGCUGAUUAGCUAGUUGGUGGGGUAAAGGCCUACCAAGGCGACGAUCAGUAGCUGGUCUGAGAGGACGACCAGCCACACUGGGACUGAGACACGGCCCAGACUCCUACGGGAGGCAGCAGUGGGGAAUUUUGGACAAUGGGCGAAAGCCUGAUCCAGCAAUGCCGCGUGUGUGAAGAAGGCCUUCGGGUUGUAAAGCACUUUUGUCCGGAAAGAAAUCCUUGGUUCUAAUAUAGCCGGGGGAUGACGGUACCGGAAGAAUAAGCACCGGCUAACUACGUGCCAGCAGCCGCGGUAAUACGUAGGGUGCGAGCGUUAAUCGGAAUUACUGGGCGUAAAGCGUGCGCAGGCGGUUUGCUAAGACCGAUGUGAAAUCCCCGGGCUCAACCUGGGAACUGCAUUGGUGACUGGCAGGCUAGAGUAUGGCAGAGGGGGGUAGAAUUCCACGUGUAGCAGUGAAAUGCGUAGAGAUGUGGAGGAAUACCGAUGGCGAAGGCAGCCCCCUGGGCCAAUACUGACGCUCAU
Molecule: ribosomal RNA, 698 nt
Filed under: uncultured beta proteobacterium
Lineage: Bacteria; Pseudomonadati; Pseudomonadota; Betaproteobacteria
Description: bacterial SSU rRNA
Rfam family: Bacterial small subunit ribosomal RNA
Source: RNAcentral